GGAAUCUGAUAUGUGAAGAGUUAAGGCAUUGCCAGUGGUCUGGAAGCUGAGUCAUGAUGGAGCUGAGAUUCAAACCCAGGCAUUUUGCUUCAUUGCUCACGUGUUGUCAUCUUGACUAUAAAUGAGGAAUCUUGCAGCAGGGGAGAUCAUGAACAAAGUUGGUAGUUUUUGAGAAGCUGCCCUUGAAGACAUGUCUAUCCUGUCUUGCUGUGAUCCCCCUCCCCCAACUUCUUGAGUUGCUUCUCUCUGGGGAGAUAUUAAAGGAGCAGAAUUCCAGCUUGGGAGAGAAGUGUAGCCCUCAGCAGCAGCCUGCUCUGUCCUGGACCAGCUAAGUGGAUUCCUCUUUGGGACAGAGAGAAGUCCGGUUUCUAUGACAAUCUAUGGCCGUUCUGCCAAGACUGCCAGCUAGGGUGCCUGGCAGUGCUAAUUGCUAUGCAGACAUCCGUUCAUUAGACUUUGACCUAGAAUUACUAUCAUCUUUCACAAGAAUUCUGGAGAGAACUACAGAUGCUGAGUGCUUUACUUUGGUUAGCCUAAGAUAAAAUACCCAGGAGGAGUGAACAUUGGUAUUGGAGUCCAUGUAUGAAGCCACUGGAAAUGAGUGCUGAAGUUCUUCCAGAAAACAUUUUAGAAUGAGGUGGGAAUUCAACAACACUAAUUUACCAUGGACCACUUUCAGAAGGGUUGUGUGAUGGCAGAACAAUUUCCAAGUGGGAUUUCGCUCAUGUGAAAACAACUGCAUGUGAACAGAGGAAAAAAAAAGUUUCUGUAUUUUGAAAAAUGUAGUGGUAAUACUUAAAUGAAGAUUAAUUUUUUCCCCUGUGGCUACACUGUGACUUUGAAUGAAACCAAUUAAUUCCCACUGUGUGCAGCUAAACAUCAUUGUCUCACUGAUGCUGGAGCCAACGCUGCCCCAACCAUGACUCACUGGGAGCACUUGUUUAAGUGGAAGAAUUUUGCCUUUCUGCAUUGUUAGCUGUCCCAACCUUUGAUUUUUCUCUGUGAACAUGGGUCCUAGUCUCUGCUAAACAUGGGCAUUUUUUCUUGCCACAAUACCCAAACUACCUACAUGUGAGGUAUAUUUUUUUCUCCAGAUGCAUUUAAAAAAAAACCCACAAUUUUUAGUCCUUUCCCUCAUCCCCACUUUUUUUCUGCUGUAGCUCUCCGCCUUUCAUACAAAGGACCAGAGCCCAGCCCCUGUGAGUGCUGGGCAGCCAGCAAAGUCUCAACAUGCUGCUGGUGUGGGAGGGGAUUCUGUGUGAGCAAGCUGGCUGCCACAUCUGGGGGAGGCCCGAGUGAUGAAAGAUGGCAGCUGAGAUGAUGGGAGAGGAGUCAGUUUCCGGGAGGCAGGGGAAGGCUCCUCUCUUAUUCCCCUCGCCUAGAUCCAAAUGCCAUUUGUGUGAAUCAGCUGCCACUUGGCCUCAAGGGACUUUGCUGCCAGAUGCUCACUCCCCUUCCCCCUUCUUGAAGCGAGGGCCAAAUUCCCUCCUGACCUCUCCACCUGCAGUAGAUGUCUUCUAGGGCCACUUGACUGUCGCAGGGCGUUCAGGGUACAGCAGCAGGCUUUUCUCUCAUGCAGAAUGUUAUAGGGCUCUGAAAGUAACAAUGAAGGAGCUGGAGUUACUCUGAGUCACAUCAGUGAGCAUCUUUGUGGGCACGUUCUCUAACAUCGUUGAGCAUUUACUGUGUGUGGGCUCUGUGCUAACUCCUGGGUAUGCA
This is a long non-coding RNA of Neofelis nebulosa (Clouded leopard), 1719 nucleotides long. RefSeq lists it as uncharacterized. The record is from RefSeq and is a predicted model, not a curated record. The transcript has 5 exons. Lineage: Eukaryota; Metazoa; Chordata; Mammalia; Carnivora; Felidae.